GACACAUGGGUGUUUCAGUGUUACUUGACAUUUACUUAUUUAAUUAUUAGUCAUUUGUGCUAUGAACAGCAAGAUAAUAUCCUGUAGCAUUUUCAGUGGCAAGGCACGUUAUGAAAUAGUGAUAAAUACUAAUGCAUACUUACCUCAGGCCAGUAGUCUUUGGUUCAUUGACCAGAUGUUAGGGAAGUGUAUACUCCAGGUCAGUUAACUGAAUAGGCUGUUGUUUAGGGUGCGGCACUCUUGGGAGUAUCUUGUGGUCCCUGAAAACUCCAAACACAAUCCAGAGCAACUGCUUCUUACCUGAGCAGCAAUGUUUAGUUUUCUGUACUGUCACUUUUGUUUUCCUCUUUCUGAUGCCCAAAGUUUAUUCCUCACAGGCUGUAUUCAAACUUGCAUGAAAGGAACGUGGCUCACAACCCCUGAGUUUCUGGUGUAUGGUUGCAAAUGAUUAAAUAUGUUGCAGAGGAGAUUGUUGGAACUUAUAAUGAAGAAUAUGAAUUUAUAUAACCAGUUUUCUCAUGGGAACAGUCAAAAUUCUUCAUGACAAAACUUGCUGUCACUUGAUACGUCGCUUGCUCUCUACAGGAGUUGGCUUGUUUGUAUAUACAAAUGUAAGUGUAGUUUGAAGUUAUUUAGAAAAUGCUAAACUAGAUGAAGAUGCUAAUAAAAUCCUCCUACCAUUGCAGGAGAUGGAAUAGAAUGCAAGAACACUUUCACAAACACUUUACUUUUUACUGAUUACUGAUAUAUUCUGAGUGACAUGUUCUGGACAAACCUUAUGAGGGUAAAAUCCAGUGCUGGCGUUUCAGCUCUACUGUUCCCAAGCUCGCUUCCUACAUCUGUGCACUGUCCUGCCCUGCUGGGAUUAUCUUCACAGGGGAAAUGCUGCUCACAAGAGAGUGCCGCAGGCAGGUGACGCACAUAGAAGGGCAGAUCUGUAAGUGCUGCAAUAGAGUAAGUUUCUAAAAUGCUGUAAAACUGUCUGCUGUGUUUUUUAGGGAACGUGUAUUAUACCUCAUCAGGAAUCUUUUCCUCAACAAAAGCACUUGGCCUCUUAUUGUGACUAAGUUUCAAAUCAGAGAACUUUAGCCAAAAGAAGCUGUAAGAACUGACCUUUUUGCUAGCAACAAACCACUAAUU
This 1140-nucleotide long non-coding RNA is filed under the name Coturnix japonica (Japanese quail). Its description in RNAcentral is "lncRNA (ENSCJPG00005018596.1)". Lineage: Eukaryota; Metazoa; Chordata; Aves; Galliformes; Phasianidae. The record is from RNAcentral.